This 76-nucleotide transfer RNA is filed under the name Truepera radiovictrix. RNAcentral's name for it is "tRNA-Val". It matches the Rfam family "tRNA". Rfam says of the family: Transfer RNA (tRNA) molecules are approximately 80 nucleotides in length. Their secondary structure includes four short double-helical elements and three loops (D, anti-codon, and T loops). Further hydrogen bonds mediate the characteristic L-shaped molecular structure. tRNAs have two regions of fundamental functional importance: the anti-codon, which is responsible for specific mRNA codon recognition, and the 3' end, to which the tRNAs corresponding amino acid is attached (by aminoacyl-tRNA synthetases). tRNAs cope with the degeneracy of the genetic code in two manners: having more than one tRNA (with a specific anti-codon) for a particular amino acid; and 'wobble' base-pairing, i.e. permitting non-standard base-pairing at the 3rd anti-codon position. The record is from RNAcentral. RNAcentral also lists the same sequence under 2 other names. Lineage: Bacteria; Thermotogati; Deinococcota; Deinococci; Trueperales; Trueperaceae.
GGGCGAUUAGCUCAGCUGGAAGAGCGCUUCCCUUACAAGGAAGAUGUCGGCGGUUCGAGCCCGUCAUCGCCCACCA